This 1615-nucleotide long non-coding RNA is filed under the name Homo sapiens (human). Its description in RNAcentral is "long intergenic non-protein coding RNA 2026". The record is from RNAcentral. Lineage: Eukaryota; Metazoa; Chordata; Mammalia; Primates; Hominidae.
CCCCGGGGCAAGGAGGGGAGGCCAGGCAGCCGGAAGGAAACUCCUGAGCUUUUUACGGAAUGCACAAGACAAAAGAGUGCUGCUUGCUCUGCAGCUGGUCCAAGAAGCUUCACCUCCCAGGAGCACCAGACAGAUGAUCUCCUGUUUACAGUGGUUCCAGGAGCACCAACCCCAAGGAUGAGUUAUAAGCAGGUCUCUAAAGAGAUUUUAGGAGAAGCUGCUAAAAUGGUGGCAAAGCUCUUUAGAAACAUAGAAGUAUGAACCUUUUUAUGGGGAGAACUUAUAAGAGUUUGGAGAGGUCUUCCAGGUCCACACAACCUCCCUGGAAAUGGCAAGGAGUUAUAAUUUCCAUUUUACAGAUGAAAAAUGAAAAAGAGGAGAAGGGGAUGCCAUUUGCUCAAGGCUGCUGGAACGCUAGGCUGGCUCUGGGACUAUCACGAAAAGUUUCUAACCCCCCGCCACGGCUCUUCUCACAACACAAGAAUGAGCUCAGAGAGGUUAAUGAACCUGCCAAAGACCCCAGCUGAGAGACUGAGUUGGUUUGCAGAUUCCAAAGCCCACAUUCAUUCCAUUUUAUCUCAUCUUUAGUGGACUUUGAACAUGCCUCAGCCUUCACCUUGACCCUUGGUGAAGGUGCUGAGAACCAAGACCCAGUGCAGCGGUGUCUCUGGAACCUCCUGGAGCUCAGCAGCCGACUCCCAAACCUGGAGGUCCUCACUCUGCACCCUGUGCUCUGCCCUCUGGCUGAUCCUCAGCAUUCCCAGGCAGCCUGGCUCCCUGUAAAGUUGUUUAAACUUCUGUUUAUCAUCAUCUUCCAUCAUUUCUAAUUGUUUUCCUGUGUCCCUUUCUUUUGUAGAGGAUAUAAACUCAGCAUUUUAGCUUUUGAAAUAGAUUUGCUGUGCAGUUUCAUGGCUCUUUAGUGGCUUAAAAUGUAUUGUUCUGUGAGUCUUUCUGUGCCCGUCACAGCAUUCACUGUGGGAAGCAGCAGGACGCCAGCGAUGCUGAUGUUUAUUUGAUUUUAGGGGACUUUAAGGCAUUCCUGGGACCAUACGGAUUCUAAAUAUUCUGCCUCAUUGUCUUCAGAAGCUACUAAAAUAUCCUAGAAAUGAUCAUGUUUCAGCAUGUAAGCUACAUAUUUCACGUUACCUCUUGUAUCCAUCCAUACAUAGCCUCUAUCAAGAGCCUGGCAUAAGCCAAUGUAAUGGUUCUGAAAUGGUAACCACAUGGUUCUUCAAUCACUAAAACCCUUUCCACUCUGAGAUUGGACAUUCAUUGCUAUUUUCUGCCAGGGCUUUGAUUUACAAGACUGUCUAUGAGUUCUGUGUUUAAUAUACAGAACUGGCUGCCCUCAAUGCAUGAGACUUCCUGGUAUUUUUUUCAUGUGAUUAGAUGGAUUACAUUUGUUUCAUAUUUAUUGUUUAGAUAUACAAGUAAUCCUCACUUUGCACAGUGUCAUGUCUGCAUAUUGAAACCCUAUACUCACUUUGUGCAAUCCUUUGGUAAGUGCAAAGUGAGAACACAGGUCUGAUAUGUACAAGUUUCAGUGAACAUGGUACUAUGCAUCAUGAAGACUAUCUGAAGUUGCUUUCAAAUAAAAUUUGGAUAAGGACUGUAA